GGACGCACCUCUGGAGAGCGCAUAUACAAUUAUGCCACCAAAGGGGAAGGUUCGAUUUAUAAAUCGGAACUAAACUCUCAGGUAAAAGGACAGAGAAGGGUAA
This 103-nucleotide non-coding RNA is filed under the name Bacillus sp. (in: firmicutes). RNAcentral's name for it is "Bacillus sp. Glycine sequence". It matches the Rfam family "Glycine riboswitch aptamer". From Rfam's summary of the family: This family represents the bacterial glycine riboswitch. Glycine riboswitches usually consist of two metabolite-binding aptamers domains with similar structures in tandem. The aptamers cooperatively bind glycine to regulate the expression of downstream genes. RNAcentral also lists the same sequence under 1 other name. Lineage: Bacteria; Bacillati; Bacillota; Bacilli; Caryophanales; Bacillaceae. The record is from RNAcentral.